Long non-coding RNA from Perca fluviatilis (European perch), 2050 nucleotides. RefSeq lists it as uncharacterized. The record is from RefSeq and is a predicted model, not a curated record. The transcript has 2 exons. Lineage: Eukaryota; Metazoa; Chordata; Actinopteri; Perciformes; Percidae.
CAGAGAGAGAGAGAGAGAGAGAGAGAGAGAGAGAGGGGGUUCAGAUAGUGACCGCAGUAUUGUCUCAGUCAGUCCUGAGAGGAGGAAGAGAAGAGUGAGGAUCUCCUACUGAAAUCUGGUGCUUUAGUACCUUAAACCAGGAGUUCCUGAGACCGUGGACGUCAGGGGGAUGGAAGGCAGCAGUUAUCCCAAGAUAGUGCCUCCUGGCCUGGGUAGGACGUCGGCCACCUCUUGGCCUCUGCUCUCAGACCAACCGGAGAAGCUGCACAGCCAGACGGACUCUAUCCUCACUGCAGCCCGGCUGGCCCGCAGAGGAUGGACACAGGAGGGGACAAAGACAGGGUGGCAAUGUUCCUAUUUCGACUUCUCAGCACGGCAACCCUCCGUCUCCAGCUCAGAUGGAAAUCAGGGUCCAAAACGUGCCGAGAUCUGCCUGAAGGACCCCGGGAGCAGGCAGGUUCCGGUCGUGGACAGCAGGAAGACGGCUGAGGACAGAGAGACGGGCUCUAGUGAAGCAAAACAAACUAAAGGUGCAUCCUCAGCAGUAGGACAGAAACGUCUCUGUAGUCAGGCAGGCUUUCGUGUCUGGGCGUCUCGCUGUCGCACAUCUUGCAGACAGCCCCGAAGGUUUAAGGGCCCGAUACUACCGGUCAUUGCUGAGGUAUAGGCUAGCUGCCAAUUGUUCCAGAAAAGACAAGGUGCAUGUAAAACACUUGGUUUAUGCUUCUUCUUGGUCAUGAUGAGUACAAUAAUCUAUGUAGACAAUAACACAAAACUUGAUGUUAAAAAAUGUUAAAAUCAAUGCAUUCUCAUGAACAGGUUCGUAUCAUAUCUUACAAAAACUUAUGCACAACAAUACGUAUGAUAUGCCACGAAAUUCACGUGACUAACUUUUGGCUGACGGGUCACAUGAUGGUUAACUUUGGCAGACAAAGAUGACCAUCAUGCGGCAAAGACAAGUUAAGUUUAGACAACAAAACAACUAGUUAAGAUUAGAAAAAAAGAUUGUGGUUUGGGUUCAAACACUGGUGCCCUUCAGCCCAAAUGUUUUCUCAAAAGCCACAAAUCUUUUAGGCUGACUUCACUGUCUUUAAGAGGCUGUAGUGGGCUCCGUUUUAAAGCUGGACUGAAGCUAGAUAUUGGUAUCAUAUGAAACUAAAUAACGCUCCAAAGUUAUAGGCUACAUUUCAGCGAGGAAAAAGCUAGCAUGAUCGUUUUUAAAGGGGGUCCAAUGACUUCUCACCUCCAGAUAUCUAAAUGAAAAGGUUUUAGGGGUAACCGCGAGUCUCCCCUUUACAGACAGGCUCACUUUAUGAUAACCACAUACUGUUUUUCCCUUGGCAACUAUCAUAAAUGGUUUACACAUAUUUAGGCAUUCUAUUAUCAAAUUGCUUUAAAAAGAAAUGGUCUAAAAUUGCUGCUGUAAAUGGGGGGAAAAUAAUCUCCCCGAAGGAGCAUAAGUAGUACAACAGGGACACGAACACGUGUUUCCUGAGGUGAAAGUCUUGUGUUUUACCUUUAACUUCUUCCGGGACACAAAAUUCCCUCCCCUCGCUUGAAAGCCCUGUGUUUUAGGAUCCAAACAUACCCCCUGACCUCCUCCCAGGUGGCCCACAGCGCUCUUAUACAGCAGCAGUCAAUGUGUUGCUGACAGAAAUAAAUACGUUGAAUACAUACGAAUUACACUGCUUUACUUUUCGUAGCUUUACGUACGAAUGGUUCAUGAGAACAGCGUGUUUAAAUAGAGGGAUUUGAUGACGUUAAUACUCUUGUUGUCAUGUGUGUAUUUUUUUUCCUUUCAUUAAAAUGCAAACUGUACAAGUGUCCCUGUGGGUUGGUGUUCUGUUCGUCUAAAAAGUUUAAACAAAAACACAUUAUAGGUGAUGUAGAAUCAAUACGAAAACUAAAUUUUAUUUGCUUUGUUGUCUGAUUACGCAGACAUGCACAAAAGACCUUAAAUUUAAAAAAGCUACCUUACUGUUGCAGUUUAGAGGAAAGUCUAUAUGGGUCAUUAACGAAUAAGGUUUUUAAAAGUGUAAAAAAAAAAAAA